Molecule: ribosomal RNA, 562 nt
Filed under: uncultured bacterium
Lineage: Bacteria
Description: bacterial SSU rRNA
Rfam family: Bacterial small subunit ribosomal RNA
Source: RNAcentral
UAUGCCGCGUGAGUGAAAAGCUUCGGGUUGUAAAGCUCUUUUGUCAGGAAGAACACCGGCUCUAACACAGUCCGGGAAUGACGGUACCUGAAGAAUAAGCACCGGCUAACUACGUGCCAGCAGCCGCGGUAAUACGUAGGGUGCGAGCGUUAAUCGGAAUUACUGGGCGUAAAGCGUGCGCAGGCGGUUAUACAAGACAGGCGUGAAAUCCCCGGGCUUAACCUGGGAAUGGCGCCUGUGACUGUAUGGCUAGAGUGUGUCAGAGGGGGGUAGAAUUCCACGUGUAGCAGUGAAAUGCGUAGAUAUGUGGAGGAAUACCAAUGGCGAAGGCAGCCCCCUGGGAUAACACUGACGCUCAUGCACGAAAGCGUGGGGAGCAAACAGGAUUAGAUACCCUGGUAGUCCACGCCCUAAACGAUGCUGACUAGUUGUUCGGGAUUUACAUCCUGAGUAACGUAGCUAACGCGUGAAGUCAGCCGCCUGGGGAGUACGGUCGCAAGAUUAGAACUCAAAGGAAUUGACGGGGACCCGUACAAGCGGUGGAUGAUGUGGAUUAAUUCGA